UACGUAGGGUGCAAGCGUUAUCCGGAAUUAUUGGGCGUAAAGAGCUCGUAGGCGGUUUGUCGCGUCUGCUGUGAAAGCCCGAGGCUCAACCUCGGGCCUGCAGUGGGUACGGGCAGACUAGAGUGCGGUAGGGGAGAUUGGAAUUCCUGGUGUAGCGGUGGAAUGCGCAGAUAUCAGGAGGAACACCGAUGGCGAAGGCAGAUCUCUGGGCCGUAACUGACGCUGAGGAGCGAAAGCGUGGGGAGCGAACAGG
This 253-nucleotide ribosomal RNA is filed under the name uncultured bacterium. RNAcentral's name for it is "partial 16S ribosomal RNA". It matches the Rfam family "Bacterial small subunit ribosomal RNA", at positions 524 to 776 of the family's 1533-position model. The record is from RNAcentral.